GAAAUGCGAUACUUGGUGUGAAUUGCAGAAUUCAGUGAAUCAUCGAAUCUUUGAACGCAUAUUGCGCCCUUUGGUAUUCCGAAGGGCAUGCCUGUCCGAGCGUCAUUACACCCCUCAAAUUCCAUUUGAUGUUGGGCGACGCCCGCCGCGGCCAGCCUUAAAGCGAAUGACGGUUCCCAACCAACCUCGGGCGUACAAGUAUCGCGACGGGGGAGGAUCGGGGGCCUGUCCCACACAGCUUCUAAAUGUUGACCUCGGAUCAGGUAGGGAUACCCGCUGAACUUAA
This 286-nucleotide unclassified non-coding RNA is filed under the name uncultured Cyphellophoraceae. Its description in RNAcentral is "sequence contains ITS1". The stretch from base 1 to 105 matches the Rfam family "5.8S ribosomal RNA", at positions 50 to 154 of the family's 154-position model. Lineage: Eukaryota; Fungi; Ascomycota; Eurotiomycetes; Chaetothyriales; Cyphellophoraceae. The record is from RNAcentral.